Molecule: non-coding RNA, 180 nt
Organism: Megasphaera sp.
Lineage: Bacteria; Bacillati; Bacillota; Negativicutes; Veillonellales; Veillonellaceae
Rfam family: 6S / SsrS RNA
About the family: E. coli 6S RNA was the first non coding RNA to be sequenced, but its function was unknown until recently. It consists of 184 nucleotides that fold into an extended hairpin structure with a large single-stranded internal bulge.
Source: Rfam
AAAACCCUACUGUGUGCGUAAAUGGUCUCGAUGUUUUGAACCAACACUUCAUACAUUGGGAGUCCGGGCUCUAUUGCGGUAAAACAAUGCCUUUUGCGGGACUGUUGAACCUCAUAGGAGGACACCCACCUGCUUAGGCAGGCUCAAAACUCGGUUUAUAAACGGCAUGGUGGGGUUCUU